UCAUAUAUUUAAUUAGAAAAGUCAAUGCCAUUGACUUUUUAAAGCCAAGGGCCUCCUAGAAUUAUGUUUUGCAAAAUGUGCUAUACACAUUGCUUAUGGUAUAUCAAGUAGUCCACAUAUGGUUAGGCAGUUUUGGAGAUAAAAAUGAUGAAACAAUCCUAUUUACACAUGUUUUAUAAAUUUGAAAUGUAAUAUUAAUUAUACUUUUUAAAUUCCACUGCAUUUUAAUGAUUAUAUCAUAAAAGUUGUAAAUGUGCUCCAAGAACUGCGUUGGUAAAUUUGUUUCAGCUGUCAUUCAGCUAACAGAGUCUUGUGAAAAUUUUCCAAUGUCACUUGUAUUCUAUUAGUUGUGAUUCUUGUUCUUAAAUUGCUGCGUGGAAACUAAUCUAUGGUGACAAUAAUCAGGGCUUGGGAAGGCUUGAUUGUAAACAGGCUCAUGACCCUGGGAACUUUUGGGGAUGCAGCAAUUAUUUUCUUAUAUUGAUUAUGUUGGUAGUUCCAUGGAUGUAGCUUGCCAAAACUCAUUAAACGAUACACUUCGAAUG
Long non-coding RNA from Homo sapiens (human), 545 nucleotides. The record is from Ensembl. Lineage: Eukaryota; Metazoa; Chordata; Mammalia; Primates; Hominidae.